RNAcentral lists this ribosomal RNA (330 nucleotides) under uncultured Bacillota bacterium. RNAcentral's name for it is "bacterial SSU rRNA". It matches the Rfam family "Bacterial small subunit ribosomal RNA", at positions 28 to 351 of the family's 1533-position model. The record is from RNAcentral. Lineage: Bacteria; Bacillati; Bacillota.
GACGAACGCUGGCGGCGUGCCUAAUACAUGCAAGUCGAGCGGAGUUAAAAGCUUGCUUUUUAACUUAGCGGCGGACGGGUGAGUAACACGUGGGGAACCUGCCUUUAAGACUGGGAUAACUUCGGGAAACCGAGGCUAAUACCGGAUAACAUCUUUUAACACAUGUUAGAAGAUUAAAAGAUGGUGCAAGCUAUCACUUAGAGAUGGCCCCGCGGCGCAUUAGCUAGUUGGUGAGGUAACGGCUCACCAAGGCAACGAUGCGUAGCCGACCUGAGAGGGUGAUCGGCCACACUGGGACUGAGACACGGCCCAGACACCUACGGGUGGCAG